ACAUGCAGUCUUUGAUGAGUUCCUUUCCUUCUGCUAAGCUCCAGAUAUCUUAUUGAAUUUCUGCAUCGUUCACAUCCUGGAUCAGAGGGAUGCACACAUCAUAUAUCUGUGGGACAUAUCCUACUUCAAGAGGAACCUUCCUGCUCAGAUGAUGAUGACAGGAUGAAAAAUAUACCUGAAAACAGCUGGCUGAAGCACAGAUUCCUGAAACAUGGGAAUUAACUAUUCAAAUACAAGGAGGAGGCUGGAAAAUAAUUCUGCAGGACAUAAACAGCACUGAAACCCCAUGGCAAUGAAAAGCUCCUCUUACAGAAAAGGGAGAAGGCUGUAGCAGCUGAACAAGUGACCAGGUAUUGCAGAAACAGUGAUGUGCACAAGCAAGAAGAUCCCUGACAUGGUAUUAAAAAGGUCAUAGGAGCCCACCUGAAGCAGAGAUGUUUGUAUACUCAGGAGUCCCUUUUCAUUUCUUGCAUCAGCAGCCAACCCAAGCACACUGCCUAGACUAGGACUUCUGGUUUAUUCAUGUCUGGACUCUUGACAUGAUAAAUGAGAAGAUAAUCUUUCUGCAUUCAGUUGACUCUGAUCCUGUCUACCAGUCUUUCUCCUGGGGAAAAAAAAAAAUCACUGAAUGGAGUAUGUACCUUUGAAUAAAAAGAUUAAGGGAGAAUCAAAGACCUUACUUCUUGAAAAAAAAAGUGAUUUUUUUUUUCUUCUGCAGUCUCUUUCUUACCAACUGCACUUUGUAUGAAAUUAUGGGUUAUCUCUGUUUCCCUGUUUGGCUGGUACAGGAGUUCUGUCUGAGCUGUUCUGUCUCACCCUGGAAUGUGCUGUACCUCUAGGAUGGCACCACACAAUGUGAUUCAAGGUGGCAUUUUUCCCUAAGCUCACUGCCAGUGUUUCACACAAGCAUGCACUAAUCACAGAAUAUUUAAGCUUUAUGCACAUGAAAUGCAGCCUUGAAAAUGGUGCAAAAUAGUGAGAAAGGAGUGAGAAAUACCUCUUUGAGACACUAAGAGCAUCUGUUUUCUUUUUGGAUAAAAAGAUGGUCACUUUGGCAGUUUUCUACAUGUUGGUAUGCAUACAGUUUUCCAUUUUCCUAGAAGGUAGCCUAUUAAAGAACAAGAUGCCAUAGACUUAAUCCACAGAAUUCUUGCUAAAUAUGUAAUUUUUGAGGUAAUGCCCUGAUACACAGGCCAGAACUGUGGCUCUUUUCUUGGUUUUAUCAAAAAGGUUAUACUUGCUACUAAUCUCUGCUCAACAUACAAACAAAGUCCGGCUUUUUUUCUCUCCUUUAUUCUCCAUGCAGGGAAAUGAGUGAAGGCACCAGUUUUAGUUUCUAUCAGUUUCUGAGAGCAAAGUCAUGUAUCUUUAAGUAAAAAA
This is a long non-coding RNA of Cyanistes caeruleus (blue tit), 1380 nucleotides long. RefSeq lists it as uncharacterized. The record is from RefSeq and is a predicted model, not a curated record. NCBI's taxonomy places the organism in Eukaryota, Metazoa, Chordata, Aves, Passeriformes, Paridae.